Molecule: ribosomal RNA, 482 nt
Filed under: uncultured bacterium
Lineage: Bacteria
Description: partial 16S ribosomal RNA
Rfam family: Bacterial small subunit ribosomal RNA
Source: RNAcentral
AUUGAACGCUGGCGGCAUGCCUUGCACAUGCAAGUCGAACGGUAACAGGUCUUCGGAUGCUGACGAGUGGCGAACGGGUGAGUAAUACAUCGGAACGUGCCCAGACGUGGGGGAUAACGAGGCGAAAGCUUUGCUAAUACCGCAUACGAUCUAAGGAUGAAAGCAGGGGACCGCAAGGCCUUGUGCGUUUGGAGCGGCCGAUGGCAGAUUAGGUAGUUGGUGGGAUAAAAGCUUACCAAGCCGACGAUCUGUAGCUGGUCUGAGAGGACGACCAGCCACACUGGGACUGAGACACGGCCCAGACUCCUACGGGAGGCAGCAGUGGGGAAUUUUGGACAAUGGGCGAAAGCCUGAUCCAGCAAUGCCGCGUGCAGGAUGAAGGCCUUCGGGUUGUAAACUGCUUUUGUACGGAACGAAAAGGCUCUGGCUAAUACCUGGGGCACAUGACGGUACCGGAAGAAUAAGCACCGGCUAACUACGUG